CCUACGGGAGGCAGCAGUGGGGAAUAUUGGACAAUGGGGGGAACCCUGAUCCAGCCAUGCCGCGUGUGUGAAGAAGGCCCUCGGGUUGUAAAGCACUUUCAGUGAGGAAGAACGCCUGGUGAUUAAUACCCAUCAGGAAAGACAUCACUCACAGAAGAAGCACCGGCUAACUCCGUGCCAGCAGCCGCGGUAAUACGGAGGGUGCGAGCGUUAAUCGGAAUUACUGGGCGUAAAGCGCGCGUAGGUGGCUUGAUAAGCCGGUUGUGAAAGCCCCGGGCUCAACCUGGGAACGGCAUCCGGAACUGUCAAGCUAGAGUGCAGGAGAGGAAGGUAGAAUUCCCGGUGUAGCGGUGAAAUGCGUAGAGAUCGGGAGGAAUACCAGUGGCGAAGGCGGCCUUCUGGACUGACACUGACACUGAGGUGCGAAAGCGUGGGUAGCAAACAGGAUUAGAUACCCUUGUAGUC
RNAcentral lists this ribosomal RNA (465 nucleotides) under Vreelandella stevensii. RNAcentral's name for it is "partial 16S ribosomal RNA". It matches the Rfam family "Bacterial small subunit ribosomal RNA", at positions 338 to 795 of the family's 1533-position model. The record is from RNAcentral. Lineage: Bacteria; Pseudomonadati; Pseudomonadota; Gammaproteobacteria; Oceanospirillales; Halomonadaceae.